GAUGAAGAACGUAGCGAAAUGCGAUAAGUAAUGCGAAUUGCAGAAUUUCCGUGAGUCAUCGAAUCUUUGAACGCACAUUGCGCCCCUUGGUAUUCCGAGGGGCAUGCCUGUUCGAGCGUCAUUAUAACCCCUCAAGCUCAGCUUGGUGUUGGGGCCUGCUGCACUGGCAGCCCUUAAAAUCAGUGGCGGCGCCAUCUGGCUCUAAGCGUAGUAAUUCUUCUCGCUAUGGAGUCCUGGUGGAUGCUUGCCAUCAACCCCCAAUUUUUCUAUGGUUGACCUCGGAUCAGGUAGGGAUACCCGCUGAACUUAAGCAUAUCAAUAAGCGGAGGA
RNAcentral lists this unclassified non-coding RNA (330 nucleotides) under soil metagenome. RNAcentral's name for it is "partial contains 5.8S ribosomal RNA, internal transcribed spacer 2, and large subunit ribosomal RNA". The stretch from base 1 to 121 matches the Rfam family "5.8S ribosomal RNA", at positions 35 to 154 of the family's 154-position model. The record is from RNAcentral.